GACGAACGCUGGCGGCGUGCCUAAUACAUGCAAGUAGAACGCUGAAGGAGGAGCUUGCUUCUCUGGAUGAGUUGCGAACGGGUGAGUAACGCGUAGGUAACCUGCCUGGUAGCGGGGGAUAACUAUUGGAAACGAUAGCUAAUACCGCAUAAGAGUAGAUGUUGCAUGACAUUUGCUUAAAAGGUGCAAUUGCAUCACUACCAGAUGGACCUGCGUUGUAUUAGCUAGUUGGUGGGGUAACGGCUCACCAAGGCGACGAUACAUAGCCGACCUGAGAGGGUGAUCGGCCACACUGGGACUGAGACACGGCCCAGACUCCUACGGGAGGCAGCAGUAGGGAAUCUUCGGCAAUGGACGGAAGUCUGACCGAGCAACGCCGCGUGAGUGAAGAAGGUUUUCGGAUCGUAAAGCUCUGUUGUAAGAGAAGAACGAGUGUGAGAGUGGAAAGUUCACACUGUGACGGUGUCUUACCAGAAAGGGACGGCUAACUACGUG
RNAcentral lists this ribosomal RNA (495 nucleotides) under uncultured bacterium. RNAcentral describes it as "partial 16S ribosomal RNA". It matches the Rfam family "Bacterial small subunit ribosomal RNA", at positions 28 to 507 of the family's 1533-position model. The record is from RNAcentral.